GUUCCGCUAGCUCAGUUGGUAGAGCAUUUGACUUUUAAUCAAAGGGUCUGGAGUUCGAAUCUCCAGCGGGACACCA
This 76-nucleotide transfer RNA is filed under the name Mycoplasma sp. CAG:611. RNAcentral describes it as "transfer RNA-Lys(TTT)". It matches the Rfam family "tRNA". Rfam says of the family: Transfer RNA (tRNA) molecules are approximately 80 nucleotides in length. The record is from RNAcentral. Lineage: Bacteria; Bacillati; Mycoplasmatota; Mollicutes; Mycoplasmatales; Mycoplasmataceae. RNAcentral also lists the same sequence under 3 other names.